Molecule: non-coding RNA, 599 nt
Organism: Nicotiana tabacum (common tobacco)
Lineage: Eukaryota; Viridiplantae; Streptophyta; Magnoliopsida; Solanales; Solanaceae
Source: RefSeq, a predicted model, not a curated record
UUCUCUGCUGACACAAUGAUCGUCGGAAAAUUAGGGAUUGGGAACGAAGCACUAGAGCUUCGGCGUAAACUAACACCAUCAGGAAGGAAUAUUUUUUUGAGAGAAAAAGGUGAGACGGAAGAAGAGCAAACAUAGAAGGUGCUAGUUUCUCUUAACUAGAAGCCAAUUAAAGUGAUUGUAGAUUUGAGAAAUCUACAAGGCCAAUCUUGAGUUGACGUGUGGAAGAACGAAGAGACAGCAAUUGACGCUAGCGAGAAUUUCAUUAAUUAGAGUAUACGAGUUGACAGUCCCUCAUGAGUCCCAUACUAGUUCGCGUGGGAAAAAAGUUUAUUUAUUGUUAUCGUCUUUUCUUUUGAACUCUUAGAGCCGCUCCAUAGUUAUUUUUAUUAGUGUCAUGAGUAUUCAUUCGUUAUGUUGGACUAGUUAGUAGUAUUGCACUUUUUUUCCGUAUUUUUGAGAUGGGAUUAGUAUUAUUAUAUUGGUAAGGUUGGUAGUAUUAGUGAAAACUCGUUUUCAGUUAGUUGAUGAAGACUGUGACUGGUUUAGGUGAAUAUUGGUUGGUUGUUAUUUGUUUAUGAGACAGGAAAACUUUUUGAAAA